UCACGGACAAACUUCUAAACAGGAUGUUUGAUGUAAUGCUUAUGUAUGUCCGUGUCUUUUGGUAUGUUCAUGCCUUGUACAGCAUGUAGAGGGACGGCCGAAGGCUUAAUAGUCCCAUUUUAGUUGGGUUGGUGGCCUCUUUAGGCUUGUAAAUAAAGGUUGUGUCAUGUGGACACGUGCGAGAGAUUUUCGGUUUGUAAUGGAUCAUUUUACCCUUUGUUGUGCAAUUGUUCAGA
This 236-nucleotide long non-coding RNA is filed under the name Musa acuminata (dwarf banana). Its description in RNAcentral is "long non-coding RNA (MACU_LNC009562)". Lineage: Eukaryota; Viridiplantae; Streptophyta; Magnoliopsida; Zingiberales; Musaceae. The record is from RNAcentral.